CCAGACUCCUACGGGAGGCAGCAGUGGGGAAUAUUGCACAAUGGGGGAAACCCUGAUGCAGCGACGCCGCGUGAGUGAAGAAGUAAUUCGUUAUGUAAAGCUCUAUCAGCAGGGAAGAAAAUGACGGUACCUGACUAAGAAGCCCCGGCUAACUACGUGCCAGCAGCCGCGGUAAUACGUAGGGGGCAAGCGUUAUCCGGAUUUACUGGGUGUAAAGGGAGCGUAGACGGCAGUGCAAGUCCGGAGUGAAAGCCCGGGGCUCAACCCUGGGACUGCUCUGGAAACUGUAAAGCUGGAGUGCGGGAGGGGGAGGCGGAAUUCCUGGGGUAGCGGUGAAAUGCGUAGAUAUUAGGAGGAACACCAGUGGCGAAGGCGGCCUGCUGGGCUUUAACUGACGCUGAGGCUCGAAAGCGUGGGGAGCAAACAGGAUUAGAUACCCUUGUAU
Molecule: ribosomal RNA, 445 nt
Filed under: uncultured bacterium
Lineage: Bacteria
Description: bacterial SSU rRNA
Rfam family: Bacterial small subunit ribosomal RNA
Source: RNAcentral